GUGAAGUCCUGUGUUUGUCUGUGGCCACUUCCCAGGUUUUUAACUCAUUGACAAACAGAAAAGACCAUGAUACUUUUCCUUCAUAUAAUGUUCUAUUUAGCUAUCAUACAGGGUAUCCAAUCAGACGUUCAGUUGGUGGAGUCGGGAGGAGAUAUGAAAAGGCCUGGAGAAUCCCUCCGUCUAUCCUGUCAGGGAUCAGGGUACAACUUUGGAGGCUAUGGCAUGAGUUGGAUACGACAGGCUCCUGGGAAGGGGCUGGAAUGGGUUGCGUAUAUAUAUUCUGAUGCGAGUGAGCAAUACUAUGCAGACUCGGUGAAAGGGCGCUUCACCGUCUCCAGGAACAACCCUUCAAACAUGCUCUAUCUGCAGAUGAAUGACCUGAAAACAGAAGACACAGCCAUGUAUUACUGUGCAAGGAGCACAGUGAGAGGAAGUAAAACUGAAGCCAGACAAAAACCAGCCUUUGCUCCAAAGAAUUCUCCAGUUGACUGAACAAUAUGACAUUCAUGCUACAGGACGAAAGGAAGUUAAGGGGCUUCAAAACCUAAUACAAGUCCUUCUUUUCUGAAAUAAAAAUCUACUUUUUUCCAGUAUAAAUAAGAUACUUCUGCCAAACCUUUUCAUUUUGAAUUAUUUGAGUUAUAUGUUUUUGAAAUCUAACUAAUUCAAUCAUAAAAUAUGUUUAAUUCCAACCCCUGUC
This is a non-coding RNA of Anolis carolinensis (green anole), 700 nucleotides long. The record is from the annotation of a RefSeq genome assembly. Lineage: Eukaryota; Metazoa; Chordata; Lepidosauria; Squamata; Anolidae.